GUGGGGAAUAUUCCGCAAUGGACGAAAGUCUGACGGAGCAACGCCGCGUGAGUGAUGAAGGUUUUCGGACUGUAAAGCUCUGUUGUUUAGGACGAAAGUGCCUGUUGCAAAUAGUUACAGGUAUUGACGGUACUGAACGAGGAAGCCACGGCUAACUACGUGCCAGCAGCCGCGGUAAUACGUAGGUGGCAAGCGUUGUCCGGACUUAUUGGGCGUAAAGAGCAUGUAGGCGGGAAUCUAAGUCUGUUGUUAAAAUGCGGGGCUCAACCCCGUAUUGCGAUGGAAACUGGGUUUCUUGAGUGCAGGAGAGGAAAGGGGAAUUCCCAGUGUAGCGGUGAAAUGCGUAGAUAUUGGGAGGAACACCAGUGGCGAAGGCGCCUUUCUGGACUGUGUCUGACGCUGAGAUGCGAAAGCCAGGGUAGCGAACGGGAUUAGAAACCCCGGUAGUCC
RNAcentral lists this ribosomal RNA (450 nucleotides) under uncultured bacterium. Its description in RNAcentral is "partial 16S ribosomal RNA". It matches the Rfam family "Bacterial small subunit ribosomal RNA", at positions 354 to 796 of the family's 1533-position model. The record is from RNAcentral.